Molecule: long non-coding RNA, 620 nt
Organism: Bos indicus x Bos taurus (hybrid cattle)
Lineage: Eukaryota; Metazoa; Chordata; Mammalia; Artiodactyla; Bovidae
Source: Ensembl
CAGAAGUAAGGGAGAGAUGCUCUCAUGGCCUUCUGAGCUCAGGACUUGCGUGGUCUUCAUAGUUGUGGUUUCAGCCAUCACUUCUGUCAUACUCUGAGUUGCCCUCCCAGGGUUCCUCCACUGAGAAGGUGGAGUUUGCUACAGCCUCUGCAUGACCCCUAGGUCAAGAGGAGAAGGGACUUGUGUGUCCUGAAGGAGUGAAUGCAGAAGAGCAGAGGACAGGUUUUCUGCUUCAGACUCUCAGAAACCUCACCUCGGCUACCUCCUCACCAACAGCAUGUCUUUCCUUAGAGGAGACAAGCAUCAUAUGAAUACCCAGAUAACUGGAAAUACAGCCAACUUUCUGUGGAUUAUUCUUGUGUCCAGAAGCAGGCCUUCAGGCCUGGGUGGUUCCUCAUAACAAGGGCAGCUCUGCAUACUUCAAAGACACUGUCCCAGCGCCAGCGGGGAGCCCUGUCUCGCUCUGACGUCCUCCACACUGGCCAGAACACCAGGCCCACAGAGUCCUGCUUCUUCUUGAGACUCUUUGUGAGUCCUCUAGGAUCCUGGGAUUUUCAAGGUUUUCUCUGAUCCUCCACACAGAGAAUACGACUUUUCAAUCUCCAUCUCUUGGAGCAGAC